UUAAUCAUGAACUUAUAUCUCUUUAGCAUUGUGUCUUUAUAUUAAUAAAACAUAUAAGUAAUUAGUGAUGACAACAGGUCAGAUCAGAUUGAAUACGGAUAGUGCUUACUCACAACCUGAUUCGACAAAAAAAAAAUCAUUUGUUACCCGUACGAAUAUCCACUUAAAAAAUAUUCACAGAUAUUUUAAAACCUGUGAAUAUCUACGGAUACCCG
RNAcentral lists this long non-coding RNA (215 nucleotides) under Vigna radiata. RNAcentral describes it as "long non-coding RNA (VRAD_LNC018043)". The record is from RNAcentral. Lineage: Eukaryota; Viridiplantae; Streptophyta; Magnoliopsida; Fabales; Fabaceae.